This 253-nucleotide ribosomal RNA is filed under the name uncultured bacterium. RNAcentral's name for it is "partial 16S ribosomal RNA". It matches the Rfam family "Bacterial small subunit ribosomal RNA", at positions 524 to 776 of the family's 1533-position model. The record is from RNAcentral.
UACGUAGGGGGCAAGCGUUGUCCGGAUUUAUUGGGCGUAAAGAGCGUGUAGGCGGCCAGGUAGGUCCGUUGUGAAAACUCGAGGCUCAACCUCGAGCUGUCGAUGGAAACCAUCUGGCUAGAGUCCGGAAGAGGAGAGUGGAAUUCCCGGUGUAGCGGUGAAAUGCGCAGAUAUCGGGAAGAACACCCGUGGCGAAGGCGGCUCUCUGGGACGGUACUGACGCUGAGACGCGAAAGCUAGGGGAGCGAACGGG